UCUUCUCUUACAUAUUACAUUUUAUAUCUGGACAUCAUUAAUUUUCCCUAUUCUUCCCUUUCGUUUCCAACUCAACUUUUUAUGGUUUUCUGAAAUACCCAUCUCAGUUGCAAUAGUAUUCGUCCUAGCUUUUGUUGUUUCCCAACGCUGUUCAAUUUUUGCGAAUAAAGCUUUAAGAUCUGUACUACCAGAUUCAAUUAAUUCAAGACUUCCCUGAUUAUUUGCCUUGCUAUUUUCGGACUUGCUAGAUAUCCUCGCAUGUCCCAGAUCUGUUGGUGUUAUUACGUUUUGUAGUUUGUUCUGCCAUUGUUGUGUCGCCAUCUGCUCUUUACAUGUGAUGAUAUCUUCUACCAAAUUAAUUUUUGAUGUGUCUCAUUCUUCCUUUUCCCCAGUAUAUAAGCACUGUUCCGUAAAUUUUUU
Molecule: long non-coding RNA, 420 nt
Filed under: Gossypium barbadense (sea-island cotton)
Lineage: Eukaryota; Viridiplantae; Streptophyta; Magnoliopsida; Malvales; Malvaceae
Description: long non-coding RNA (GBAR_LNC018078)
Source: RNAcentral